GCUAAUCUCUUAAAGCCGUUCUCAGUUCGGACUGUAGGCUGCAACUCGCCUACACGAAGUCGGAAUCGCUAGUAAUCGCGGAUCAGCAUGCCGCGGUGAAUACGUUCCCGGGCCUUGUACACACCGCCCGUCACACCAUGGAAGUUUGCAAUGCCCAAAGUCGGUGGCCUAACCAUUUGGAGGGAACCGCCUAAGGCAGGGCAGAUGACUGGGGUGAAGUCGUAACAAGGUAUC
This 234-nucleotide ribosomal RNA is filed under the name uncultured bacterium. Its description in RNAcentral is "partial 16S ribosomal RNA". It matches the Rfam family "Bacterial small subunit ribosomal RNA", at positions 1267 to 1500 of the family's 1533-position model. The record is from RNAcentral.